This 398-nucleotide ribosomal RNA is filed under the name uncultured bacterium. Its description in RNAcentral is "partial 16S ribosomal RNA". It matches the Rfam family "Bacterial small subunit ribosomal RNA", at positions 361 to 774 of the family's 1533-position model. The record is from RNAcentral.
AUAUUGCACAAUGGAGGGAACUCUGAUGCAGCAACGCCGCGUGAGUGAAGAAGGUNUUNNGAUCGNANAACUCUGCCAUUGGGNNNNNAUAAAUGACGGAACCCAAUGAGGCAGCCCCGGCUAACUACGUGCCAGCAGCCGCGGUAAUACGUAGGGGGCGAGCGUUGUCCGGAAUUACUGGGCGUAAAGGGUACGUAGGCGGGUAUAUAAGUCAGGUGUGAAAUACCAGUGCUUAACACUGGAAUUGCAUUUGAAACUGUGUAGCUUGAGUGCAGGAGAGGAAAGUGGAAUUCCUAGUGUAGCGGUGAAAUGCGUAGAGAUUAGGAGGAACACCAGUGGCGAAGGCGACUUUCUGGACUGUAACUGACGCUGAGGUACGAAAGCGUGGGUAGCGAACA